AAUUCACUUAAAUAAAUAAUUUAACAAGAAAAACAACAUUGUGCUAUAAAAAUUUAUUUUAUUGUUAAGAAGCCUACUAACAAUAUAACUGAAGUGAAAACAUCAGUUUGUUAAUAACUAAUCAAUGCACAAAAUCUGAAAAUUCUAACAAUUUUAAAAACAGUCAGAGGAGAAAAUUACAUAAUAAUUUUCGUUGAUACAUGCAGUUAAAUGUGUAUAUAGGGUAACAUAAUAGAAACGAAUUCAUGUUUUUACAGCUACAAUGGUUACGAUUAUAAACAGAGCCCAGGCAGGAGUUGGUAACUUGCAAUUGAUUCCUUACUGCAUAUAGUAAGGAUUUGCGUGCAGACUGAAAAACUAAUUCAGAGUUAAGGGUUUAUGCGUUAACCAAAUUUGUGGUGGUGUAAAACUGAGUUUGUAAUGGAGUGAUCGUUGCCUUUUGUCCCCAAUUGGACACCCGUGAAUUUGAAUGAAAACUACAAAUUUUUGCUUGUUCAGUCAUUCCUGUUUAGACUCUGGUUAUGCGGUAAUGUGAGUAAGUGUAAAAGGAGACAGGAAAAAAGGAAACUGAGAAUGAUUUGGAGUUAAAGUGUGCAACUUUUUCAAAAGAUAACAUCGAAUCCUGUGUGAGCACAAACUCAACAGCAUAAUUGUCAUAAUUAAGAUAAUGUAGUACUGUAUUAAAAUGAGGUAAAUGCAGUGGUAUUAUUAGUAUUACCUAUUGGGAAGAAUUACUAUAUCAAUGUUGUAUCAUACAAUACCUAGGGAUUUGAAUUUUCCCUGUAACAACAAAUUUAUAAUUGAAUGCAAGUAUUUUAGUCAACUGUGCAUAUAGAAACUAUAUGCACAGUUAUAUAUUGCAUAUAUAAAAAUAUAUAUUAACAAUUUAAACCUGUACUUCACCAAACUAAACAGAGUAAAAACUGUGCCAAACAACAAGUUUUAAAUUUGAUACAAAAAAAAAGUAACGCUAUUUGGAAAGACCUUCAUAUGUAUAGCGCCAUUAAGGUAGUCCAGUUCCUUACAUUUCAAAAGUUGGUGUUGCCAAUUGAAUUUUUUUAUAUUGUUAUAUGUAUAUUAAAAUAAGAAAUUAAGCUCUGGUCUUCCCAUUUUGUUAAAAUUAAAUAAAUCAUUUUUUAUUUUAUUAAUGCAA
Molecule: long non-coding RNA, 1153 nt
Organism: Zophobas morio
Lineage: Eukaryota; Metazoa; Arthropoda; Insecta; Coleoptera; Tenebrionidae
Exons: 2
Source: RefSeq, a predicted model, not a curated record